CCUACGGGAGGCAGCAGUGGGGAAUUUUGGACAAUGGGCGCAAGCCUGAUCCAGCAAUGCCGCGUGCAGGAUGAAGGCCUUCGGGUUGUAAACUGCUUUUGUACGGAGCGAAACGGUCUGCUUUAAUACAGUAGGCUAAUGACGGUACCGUAAGAAUAAGCACCGGCUAACUACGUGCCAGCAGCCGCGGUAAUACGUAGGGUGCUAGCGUUAAUCGGAAUUACUGGGCGUAAAGCGUGCGCAGGCGGUUAUAUAAGACAGAUGUGAAAUCCCCGGGCUCAACCUGGGACCUGCAUUUGUGACUGUAUAGCUAGAGUACGGUAGAGGGGGAUGGAAUUCCGCGUGUAGCAGUGAAAUGCGUAGAUGUGCGGAGGAACACCGAUGGCGAAGGCAAUCCCCUGGACCUGUACUGACGCUCAUGCACGAAAGCGUGGGGAGCAAACAGGAUUAGAUACCCUGGUAGUCCACGCCCUAAACGAUGUCAACUGGUUGUUGGGUCUUCACUGACUCAGUAACGAAGCUAACGCGUGAAAGUUGACCGCCUGGGGAGUACGGCCGCAAGGUUGAAACUCAAAGGAUUGACGGNUUGAGACGNGCGAGCGACACGAGGAGGAGG
This 616-nucleotide ribosomal RNA is filed under the name uncultured bacterium. Its description in RNAcentral is "bacterial SSU rRNA". It matches the Rfam family "Bacterial small subunit ribosomal RNA", at positions 338 to 944 of the family's 1533-position model. The record is from RNAcentral.